UUCAAAAUAAAUCCAUAAAUGCCAAAAUGGAUUAGGUUUAAUGGUCUAUCUUGUACUAUAAACACAUCUUGUUUACAGUCUCUUAAAAACAUCAUAGGGCUUUUCAAAAAAUACACUGGAAAAGGCAUUGUUUUUGCUGAAUAAUUUUUGAACCAGGCUGCUAUCAAUGGAUACCGGAAUGCAGUUUUAUGUGUUUCAAAAAUUGAGACCAAUUGACCUUUAAAAACAACAUAAUAAAACAUAAAAGUAUACAGAAAGACAUUGAUGUUCAUCAGCCAUUGCGAGUAAAAUGAUGCAUGAAUUUUUUUUUUUUUUUUUUUUUUGCACAUCGCACUGCCAGAUAUAAAGAAAGAAGUUGACAGAACAAGAAACAUACAU
Molecule: unclassified non-coding RNA, 378 nt
Filed under: Hevea brasiliensis (rubber tree)
Lineage: Eukaryota; Viridiplantae; Streptophyta; Magnoliopsida; Malpighiales; Euphorbiaceae
Source: RNAcentral